GAUCAUGGCUCAGAUUGAACGCUGGCGGCAGGCUUAACACAUGCAAGUCGAGCGGGGAAGAGUAGCUUGCUACUUGACCUAGCGGCGGACGGGUGAGUAAUGCUUAGGAAUCUGCCUAUUAGUGGGGGACAACAUCUCGAAAGGGAUGCUAAUACCGCAUACGUCCUACGGGAGAAAGCAGGGGACCUCGGCCUGCGCUAUAGAUGAGCUAGUCGGAUAGCUAGUUGUGGG
Molecule: ribosomal RNA, 231 nt
Filed under: uncultured bacterium
Lineage: Bacteria
Description: partial 16S ribosomal RNA
Rfam family: Bacterial small subunit ribosomal RNA
Source: RNAcentral